AUACUUUGGCAGCACACAUACAAAAACUGGAGACAGAAAUACAGAGAAGAUCAGCAUAGCCCCUACACAAAGAUGAUAUGAAAAUUUGUGAAGUGCUCCUUGUUUUU
Molecule: small nuclear RNA, 107 nt
Organism: Acomys russatus (golden spiny mouse)
Lineage: Eukaryota; Metazoa; Chordata; Mammalia; Rodentia; Muridae
Source: RefSeq, a predicted model, not a curated record